GACGUAGGAUGCAAGCGUUGUCCGGAAUUAUUGGGCGUAAAGAGUUCGUAGGCGGCAUAUCAAGUCUAGUGUUAAAUACCGGGGCUCAACUCCGGAAAGGCACUGGAUACUGGUAAGCUUGAAUGCAGUAGAGGCAAGGGGAAUUCCUAGUGUAGCGGUGAAAUGCGUAGAUAUUAGGAGGAACACCAGUGGCGAAAGCGCCUUGCUGGGCUGUUAUUGACGCUGAGGAACGAAAGCCAGGGUAGCAAAUGGG
RNAcentral lists this ribosomal RNA (253 nucleotides) under uncultured bacterium. Its description in RNAcentral is "partial 16S ribosomal RNA". It matches the Rfam family "Bacterial small subunit ribosomal RNA", at positions 524 to 776 of the family's 1533-position model. The record is from RNAcentral.